Molecule: ribosomal RNA, 447 nt
Filed under: uncultured soil bacterium
Lineage: Bacteria
Description: bacterial SSU rRNA
Rfam family: Bacterial small subunit ribosomal RNA
Source: RNAcentral
AGAACGAACGCUGGCGGCAUGCCUAAUACAUGCAAGUCGAACGAGAUCUUCGGGUCUAGUGGCGCACGGGUGCGUAACGCGUGGGAAUCUACCCUUGGGUUCGGAAUAACAGUUGGAAACGACUGCUAAUACCGGAUGAUGACGAAAGUCCAAAGAUUUAUCGCCCAAGGAUGAGCCCGCGCAGGAUUAGCUAGUUGGUGAGGUAAAGGCUCACCAAGGCUACGAUCCUUAGCUGGUCUGAGAGGAUGAUCAGCCACACUGGGACUGAGACACGGCCCAGACUCCUACGGGAGGCAGCAGUAGGGAAUAUUGGACAAUGGGGGCAACCCUGAUCCAGCAAUGCCGCGUGAGUGAUGAAGGCCUUAGGGUUGUAAAGCUCUUUACCCGAGAUGAUAAUGACAGUAUCGGAGAAUAAGCUCCGGCUAACGUCCGUGCCAGCGAGCCGAC